GCCUUUUAAGUAAAUAAAUUUGUUGUAAAUUUAUUAACUUAUUUAUUCUUCUUUAUAUUUAUUUUCAAAUUAACUUAUUAAACACACAUAUUUAAGCAUAUUUGGUUCAGUAUUUGUUUCUUACUUAAACGUAAAAUUUAGAUCAAAUUUUUUUUUCUAAUUUCCAAAAUAUUGGCGCUAAUCAUGUGCUUAUGGCGGUAGAAGGAAUUUUGGCAUUCUAAACCUACUCUGUAACACCCCGUAUUUUUAUAACCGUUAAAUAAUUAUCUGUAUUAAUUUAUUUAAUGAAAAUGAUUACAGAUUUCUUUUAUUAAAAAUAUAUUUUUUUUUACUAACUUUGACUUUACCUUUGAAGUGGUUAAAAAAAAACUGAUUACUAGAUUUACUAGGUUUACUAUCUAAUUAGAGUUGAAGACGUGAAAAAAAAGGAAAAAAAAAGAAGAAAAGAAUACAAAUACCCAAAACCCACAGUAUCAUCAUCACUCAUCACGUCAUUUUUUUCCUCUGCAAAACUCCAUCUUCUUAUUCUAUAUUUCACAUUCUUUUUCUAUUUUAUUUCUUCCUCCUUUAACUCUUCCUUCAACCAUUAUCACACAUCCAUUGAUACAUCAUCUCCACCUUCAUCAUCUCUAGUUCGUUAGUUUUAAAAGAUAGGAAAUUUUUGGGUUAUUGGACUCGCGGUUUUCGGAUCAAGAGGUCGAGACUGUUGGGUCUUUAUAGUGUAAUCUCACUUUUAUUACUUUUCCUAAUCAAGGACUUGAAGAUAGUUAGCUCCAGUUGGGUUAAAGAGUGCGUUGGAUCCCUUUUGAUUUAAUAGGACUUUAAAAAGACUUCCGCUGUUAUUUAUUUGACUAUAAGAUUUAUGUUCUGGUUUGUAAUAAUUAUUUUACAUUCUAUUUAGUUGGUCUGUAAUAAUUAGUUAAAACUUUUGGUUAUUGUUUUAGUUAGAACCAUUAGCCUUACGAUUAUUAUUAAUAAUUAUCGCGCCGUAGCACCUUUGGAUUUCCGAAUUUAUUUUUAUUAAGUUGAUUUUAGAAGUAUUGGAAAUUCAGGGUUGUUACAUACUCGGUUGAGGCUGAGUUAUUCCUCCCACUUUUAUCUAACUCUAUUCCUCUUACCUUCAAAAACUGCCAUUAAUUCUCACACCAUCACACAGAUUCCACCACUAUAAUUCAUGCAUGAAAUUUGACGAUCGGCUUCUCCCUCACACCGUCGUUGGUAAGAUUGCAAUUCAAUCGGUUGGUUUUUAUGAAUUUGUAUGUUUGCAAUUCAACCAUUGUAACGCAAUUCAACCUCGUCAUCAGUCUAACGGUUUGUUUUUAUGAAUUUGUAUGUUUGCAAUUCAACAACCAUUGUAACGCAAUUCACCUGUCAUCAAUCUAACGCAAUUCAACCUCGUCAUCAGUCUAACGCAAUUCACCGGUCCUUCAUCUUGUAGAAUUGCGCGUUUGAACUGCUUUCAAAUGGCUAAAGGCAGAGGAAACACAAGUUCAAAGGAGGUGUCUGAUUACGAAAAACAACGAUUGAUGACAAUUCAAGCUAAUAAAGAGAAAAUGCAAUCCUUGGGCAUAAAACAUCUCGCGUCAUCUUUGGCAAGCUUGGUUGAAAAUACGAAGGAGAAUAAAAGCAACAAGAAACGAAAAGCUACCCAAGAAGAUGAUGACUUUGUCCCUGAAGAUGAGGAUAUUCGUCAUGAUGAAUAUGCAGAUAAGGAAUGUGAAACAGA
Beta vulgaris subsp. vulgaris (sugar beet) is the source of this 1726-nucleotide long non-coding RNA. RefSeq lists it as uncharacterized. The record is from RefSeq and is a predicted model, not a curated record. The transcript is spliced from 3 exons. Lineage: Eukaryota; Viridiplantae; Streptophyta; Magnoliopsida; Caryophyllales; Amaranthaceae.